RNAcentral lists this ribosomal RNA (253 nucleotides) under uncultured bacterium. Its description in RNAcentral is "partial 16S ribosomal RNA". It matches the Rfam family "Bacterial small subunit ribosomal RNA", at positions 524 to 776 of the family's 1533-position model. The record is from RNAcentral.
UACGAAGGGUGCAAGCGUUACUCGGAAUUACUGGGCGUAAAGCGUGCGUCGGUGGUUUGUUAAGUCUGAUGUGAAAGCCCUGGGCUCAACCUGGGAACUGCAUUGGAAACUGGCUUACUAGAGUGCGGUAGAGGGGUGUGGAAUUCCCGGUGUAGCAGUGAAAUGCGUAGAUAUCGGGAGGAACAUCUGUGGCGAAGGCGAGUCUCUGGGAUGAUGCUGACGCUGAGGCGCGAAAGCCAGGGGAGCAAACGGG